AGAGCUGAGCCAGGCGAGCGGACGGGGAGGAGCGAGCUCGGCAGCAGCCGAGGCUAGAGGAGCCGCUCGGAUUUCCAGGCAGGUGGAAAACCGCGGCAGGACCUCCCGCGCCCUCUCUGGGUAGGAGGCGCGGCUCAGCCCUGUCCAGAGCGCAGAGGCGGCUCAGCUCGUAGCUUUUUCACCGGUGCGUGUGCAGGAGCGGCGGCCGAAAUCUGUGCAUCAGGGGAAGGAUGACUCGGAGAGGAUGGGGACAGACUAAAUGGCUUUCACUCCAAGACAGACUGGGUGCAGUCUGGUCAGGAUCGCCCCUCCCAGGCGUGCGGGGCCUCCUUGCCCUUCCCGGCUGCGCCCUCCAGCCCUGAGCGCAACCCGCAUGGCUCAACUCUCUGGGCCCAAGCAAGGACCCAGGCGGAGCUGGGAAGGACAGGUGGCAAGCCCCUGAGCCAGGGAUAAGCACCCUCCGGGGGAGAGGGGCUCGGGAUGAACGAAUCAAAGAAGGUCGGGGGUAAGAGGGGACAGCCGAACAAGGCCGAGGCUAUGGCGUGUCCUGGAAGGUCUUUCCUUGGAAGUCCCCC
This 575-nucleotide long non-coding RNA is filed under the name Homo sapiens (human). Its description in RNAcentral is "HSALNT0384606". The record is from RNAcentral. Lineage: Eukaryota; Metazoa; Chordata; Mammalia; Primates; Hominidae.